UACGUAGGUGGCAAGCGUUAUCCGGGUCUACUGGGUGUAAAGGGCGUGUAGGCGGGAGUGCAAGUCAGAUGUGAAAACCACGGGCUCAACCUGUGGCCUGCAUUUGAAACUGUACUUCUUGAGUACUGGAGAGGCAGACGGAAUUCCUAGUGUAGCGGUGAAAUGCGUAGAUAUUAGGAGGAACACCAGUGGCGAAGGCGGUCUGCUGGACAGCAACUGACGCUGAGGCGCGAAAGCGUGGGGAGCAAACAGG
This 253-nucleotide ribosomal RNA is filed under the name uncultured bacterium. Its description in RNAcentral is "partial 16S ribosomal RNA". It matches the Rfam family "Bacterial small subunit ribosomal RNA", at positions 524 to 776 of the family's 1533-position model. The record is from RNAcentral.